RNAcentral lists this ribosomal RNA (487 nucleotides) under uncultured bacterium. RNAcentral's name for it is "partial 16S ribosomal RNA". It matches the Rfam family "Bacterial small subunit ribosomal RNA", at positions 28 to 507 of the family's 1533-position model. The record is from RNAcentral.
GAUGAACGCUAGCGAUAGGCUUAACACAUGCAAGUCGAGGGGCAGCACAAGGUAGCUUGCUAUCUGGGUGGCGACCGGCGCACGGGUGCGUAACGCGUAUGCAACUUGCCCUAUACAGGAGGAUAACCCGUCGAAAGACGGACUAAUACUGCGUAUGCUCACAACUUGGCAUCAAGUGGUGAGGAAAGAAAUUCGGUUUAGGAUAGGCAUGCGUCCCAUUAGCUUGUUGGUGAGGUAACGGCUCACCAAGGCAACGAUGGGUAGGGGAACUGAGAGGUUUAUCCCCCACACUGGUACUGAGACACGGACCAGACUCCUACGGGAGGCAGCAGUGAGGAAUAUUGGUCAAUGGGCGCGAGCCUGAACCAGCCAAGUCGCGUGAAGGAUGACUGUCUUAUGGAUUGUAAACUUCUUUUAUACGGGAAUAACAAGAGUCACGUGUGACUCCCUGCAUGUACCGUAUGAAUAAGCAUCGGCUAACUCCGUG